CUGCGAGUUCGCGGGAGAGUAGGUUAUUGCCAGGGUUUUUAUUUUAUACUUUAAGUUUUGAUUUUAUUUUUACGUUAUUUAAAUAUUGGUGUUUUUAAAUGUGUUAUUUAAAUAACAUAAAAAAUAAAAUAUAUGUUGACAUGUAAAUUGGCAAAAUAGAGAUGGAAGAUAAAAAUAUGGUCAAAGUAAUAAGAGUCUAUGGUGAAUGCCUAGGA
RNAcentral lists this unclassified non-coding RNA (215 nucleotides) under Borreliella sp. SCW-39. Its description in RNAcentral is "Borrelia sp. SCW-39 partial 5S-23S ribosomal RNA intergenic spacer". The record is from RNAcentral. Lineage: Bacteria; Pseudomonadati; Spirochaetota; Spirochaetia; Spirochaetales; Borreliaceae.